UGUGGUCAGCUCCUCUCAAAUCGAUCAGCUUCCCAGUGUUCGGUGGCAUCACAGGUGUGAUAAUUAUCUACGCUUGCGGUUGUCUGCCGAGUAACCUUUGGCGACAGAGGUUCGCUGGAGCUUAUAAAUGUCUCUCCUCAGCGAAGACAGCUUUUUGACCGUUCGAUCUCAAAUCAGGUAGGACUACCCGCUGAACUUAA
This 200-nucleotide unclassified non-coding RNA is filed under the name soil metagenome. Its description in RNAcentral is "partial contains internal transcribed spacer 2 and large subunit ribosomal RNA". The record is from RNAcentral.